RNAcentral lists this long non-coding RNA (694 nucleotides) under Olea europaea subsp. europaea. Lineage: Eukaryota; Viridiplantae; Streptophyta; Magnoliopsida; Lamiales; Oleaceae. The record is from RNAcentral.
CACGCCUUAGCCCACUGUAUUGAAACCGUGAGCUCUCUCCUCUUCAAUGAUCCUCAAAUAGUCCCAGAUCCUUGAAUGAACCUUAACCCCCAAAUUGAUUUUCCCCCACAAUCAAAGGACAACAAAGCUUGAUUUUCGAAGCCGUUCAUAUGGAGAUACCACGUGGAGGUAAUACUUGGGAACAUUUUUUUUUCUUUUCUUAAAUUUUUAGUUUUUUGCGUUCGUGUGAUUUGAAGUGCACCUAAUGGAAAUGCUAUCCAAUCCAGGCAGUUUGAGGAUUGAAGGUUGUACAUUGUUAGUGCUUUAGAGGAUUCGUUAUUAGUGGCUGACAGUAUGCUCAUAAUUUCACAAAUCUAUUCCCUCGAAUCAGAGAGUAGAACAUUUUCAUAGAAGCAACAGGUACAAUCAAAUGAAAUAUUAUUUUCCAAGGCAUACAAAUCACACAAGGCAGAAUUAAAUUUUAGAUGGUUUCGAUAUGCAUUAAGUUUAGAUGCUGCUAGAUUACUGCAGAAUAUAGAGAUGGAACAUACGCCAAUUCCUUUAUCCUGAAUACUAAUUUAACACAAGAAAAAAAUUCUCAAACAUCAUUAUAUCUAAUUAUAUUGUCCAUUAAAUGUCAAAAUAGUCUCACAAUAAACUAAAGAUAGUCCUGGAUGACAUACAGGGACGGACCAAGGAUUAUGAUCCAAUGUGG